RNAcentral lists this non-coding RNA (48 nucleotides) under Trichobilharzia regenti. Lineage: Eukaryota; Metazoa; Platyhelminthes; Trematoda; Strigeidida; Schistosomatidae. The record is from RNAcentral.
AUCCACCUGACGAGUCCUAAAUAGGACCAAAUGUACGUUAUCGUGGAU